CCUUCAUCUAUACCGAACUCGAAAGUAGGGGGCAUGUAUUGGGAGAAAAUUUAUCACUUGGGCCAAAGAUAUGGAUUAACAGAAGGACAGAUGAUAUGAUAUGCAUGAUCGAUGUCACAACACGAUCAGGAAGGAAAGUGUGCGAUUCUAAAGGAAUAUAUUUCUGUUAUAUCAUAUAAGAAUCAUCUGAAGUCAUCCAAUGCAUAACCCAGGAUCUCCUGAUCCUAGCUUUAGACCCUGACGAUCCUUGGCCUCUAGUGAUCCCCCUAAGCAAAACACUCAGGACCAGCCGAUCCUGACUUUGGCCUCAAGCCUGUCUCAAUCUCCAUGACAGUCAACAUCCGAUAUCUAUCUGACAUCUGUAAGCAAUUGGACACCUGAAUUGGCCAAUCUCAGACUUCAGCCAUAAAUAUACUUCAGUCCUCACCAGUCUUAUCCCACUGAACGCAGUUGGCUCCAGCCGCUUCUUCCCUUUGGCAUACGUCUCCAUCAGGCCACACCAAAAUCUCUACAGAUGAAGGUGAUUUGAUCCCAUCAGCGCCCUCAUUUCAAAAUUCAAAAGUGCCCGUGAUAUUUAGCUGGCUCCGAAAUAGAUAAGAUAGGUGUAGCAAUCCGAUCUUGAAAGUCUUGACCAAAAAUCCCAC
This 644-nucleotide long non-coding RNA is filed under the name Elaeis guineensis (African oil palm). Its description in RNAcentral is "long non-coding RNA (EGUI_LNC033175)". The record is from RNAcentral. Lineage: Eukaryota; Viridiplantae; Streptophyta; Magnoliopsida; Arecales; Arecaceae.